Molecule: ribosomal RNA, 867 nt
Filed under: uncultured Peptococcaceae bacterium
Lineage: Bacteria; Bacillati; Bacillota; Clostridia; Eubacteriales; Peptococcaceae
Description: bacterial SSU rRNA
Rfam family: Bacterial small subunit ribosomal RNA
Source: RNAcentral
UGUAACGCGUGGAUAACCUGCCUGACAGACCGGGAUAACGCCGGGAAACCGGUGCUAAUACCGGAUACGCUCCACAUUCUGCAUGGAAAGUGGAUGAAAGGAGCAAUCCGCUGACAGAUGGGUCCGCGUCCCAUUAGCUAGUUGGAGGGGUAACGGCCCCCCAAGGCGACGAUGGGUAGCCGGCCUGAGAGGGCGACCGGCCACACUGGAACUGAGACACGGUCCAGACUCCUACGGGAGGCAGCAGUGGGGAAUCUUCCGCAAUGGGCGCAAGCCUGACGGAGCAACGCCGCGUGAGUGACGAAGGUCUUCGGAUUGUAAAACUCUGUCCAGGGGGAAGAAACAAAUGACGGUACCCCUGGAGGAAGCCCCGGCUAACUACGUGCCAGCAGCCGCGGUAAAACGUAGGGGGCGAGCGUUGUCCGGAAUUACUGGGCGUAAAGGGCGUGUAGGCGGCGCUGCAAGUCAGUCGUGAAACCCGUCGGCUCAACCGGCGGCUGUCGAUUGAAACAGCAGAGCUUGAGUGCAGGAGAGGAGAGUGGAAUUCCCAGUGUAGCGGUGAAAUGCGUAGAUAUUGGGAGGAACACCAGUGGCGAAAGCGGCUCUCUGGCCUGUAACUGACGCUGAGGCGCGAAAGCGUGGGUAGCAAACAGGAUUAGAUACCCUGGUAGUCCACGCCGUAAACGAUGGGUGCUAGGUGUUGUGGGUAUCGACCCCCUCAGUGCCGCAGUUAACGCAAUAAGCACCCCGCCUGGGGAGUACGGCCGCAAGGCUGAACUCAAAGGAAUUGACGGGGGCCCGCACAAGCGGUGGAGUAUGUGGUUUAAUUCGACGCAACGCGAAGACCUUACCAGGUCUUGACAUCGC